Molecule: small RNA, 100 nt
Filed under: Mytilus galloprovincialis (Mediterranean mussel)
Lineage: Eukaryota; Metazoa; Mollusca; Bivalvia; Mytilida; Mytilidae
Source: RNAcentral
AUUCUUAGUUUUGUCAUUGUACGCACUUCGUUAAUUCAUCUAUCUUUGACGUCGUAGAUAGAUGAAUUAACGAAGUGCGUACAAUGUCAAAACUGAGAAU